UUUUCCCUGCGGCGUUGGCGAAACUCUAAAAGUAUUUAUUCCUACAAAGUCCAAACAAGAGAAGCGCAGACGAGCAUCUGCUCGUGGGCAUAUGCCACUGCAUCUCACUUGAAAAAAGAGGGCUUAAAUCUUUUAGAAAGUAGCGGCGCCUGCGGGGUUUUU
Molecule: non-coding RNA, 162 nt
Filed under: Elusimicrobiota bacterium
Lineage: Bacteria; Pseudomonadati; Elusimicrobiota
Description: 6S RNA
Rfam family: 6S / SsrS RNA
About the family: E. coli 6S RNA was the first non coding RNA to be sequenced, but its function was unknown until recently. It consists of 184 nucleotides that fold into an extended hairpin structure with a large single-stranded internal bulge. The 6S RNA specifically associates with RNA polymerase holoenzyme containing the sigma70 specificity factor.
Source: RNAcentral